Molecule: long non-coding RNA, 510 nt
Filed under: Phoenix dactylifera (date palm)
Lineage: Eukaryota; Viridiplantae; Streptophyta; Magnoliopsida; Arecales; Arecaceae
Description: long non-coding RNA (PDAC_LNC022277)
Source: RNAcentral
AUAAAAAGUGAUCCUAAUUGCAAUUCAAACAGUUGAUCUUAAGAGCCUCUAGCUUAAGAACACCGAAUAAUGUUGAACUUCAUUGAGUAACUCUUAGAAAAUCUAUUUUGGAAUUCACUAAUGAGUUCUUAUUGGCUUGCUCUUUAGAACUUCAAUUUUAUGCCAAUUCAUUAUUAUAUGUAUCAAAAUGUACUUAUUUUUAAAGGAAUAAAAAAACUUUGAAAUCAUACUUAAUAUAUUGCUAUUAUACUCCAAAAAGAAAAUUAGUUCAAUUGCUCUCAUGCUGCUAAAAUACUUAAUAUAUUGGGCAAAAGAUCUUAAAUGAACAAGCUUUCAUACUUAUUAUUAAAGAAUGAUUAGAUUUUUAUUCGUGCUUUCUUUGAAUAUCAUUCUUGGUACUUCUUGAAUUAACUUGAGAAAGUUUCCACCUACACUUGAUUUGAAAACUAUCUUUGGAACCACAUUCGAUGUGUUCUCAUUAUAAUUGGCUCUGAUCUAUGCUCAUUAAUC